This 911-nucleotide long non-coding RNA is filed under the name Carassius auratus (goldfish). RNAcentral describes it as "lncRNA (ENSCARG00000010177.1)". The record is from RNAcentral. Lineage: Eukaryota; Metazoa; Chordata; Actinopteri; Cypriniformes; Cyprinidae.
GCCAUUUUUUUAUUUCACAAAUUUCUAUUAUAGAUUUGGACUGGAUUGAAAAUAACUAAAUGAAGUACUAUUCAGAACAAACCCAGAGAAGACAACUGGAACAUACAACCUGUGACUAUAGAGGGCCGGAAUGGGACUCAUUUUCAUCCAUGGAGUUCCUGUUACGAACGUACACACAAAUAGAGAGAUCCAAAUAAUCGUAAUCCAGUCAGACCAAAGCUCAUGGAAGAACCAUCAGAAGACCCUUGACGAACAACUAAAGAGCAACUACAGGAUGUAAAGUCUACCCUUAAUAAGUUAACAUGAAGACAUGAAGCAGAAAAAUGUGGUUGUGACUGAAGGCGACACAGGGAAGUGACAAAUAAGAUUGUUUUAAUUAAACAAAUUGCUUGAUCUGCUUUUAUGGCUAUUUAUUUAUUUAUUUGUUCUUAAAGCCUGUAAUAAGCAUGUAAUACAUUUGCUGUUACAAUAUUAGACAAUAUUUGUUAAAAUAAAAGUUUGUGACUCCUACUGAUUAGAUCCAAAAAUAAUUAUCAUAUAUACAUUUAAUAUAUAGUUAAACAAUAUAUGCUUCAUUUGUAAUUUUUUUUUUUUUUUGUUAGCCGUCUUUUUUUAUUUAUUCAUAUACAUUUUUUACUUCUAGUCUUUGGAGGACCUCCGUUAGAUGGCGCACCCUUUUGUAAUCAGUUGUGGAAAAGCAGAUGCGCAAUGGGUACAUUGCACUGUCUCCCUCGUCAACCCUCAGUGGGUCAAAUUAAGGUAUUUGUGUUUGUGGGAUGGUCUGUACUUACGUUUGAUGUCAAAAAAAUAUUUGACUCAUUGUUUUUAAUAAUUAUAACCAUAAACAGCUUACAAUAAUGCUUAUAUCUGACAGUUCUAGCACUGUGUUAACACUUAUCGAAUGUACUUUU